Long non-coding RNA from Mesocricetus auratus (golden hamster), 273 nucleotides. RefSeq lists it as uncharacterized. NCBI's taxonomy places the organism in Eukaryota, Metazoa, Chordata, Mammalia, Rodentia, Cricetidae. The transcript has 3 exons. The record is from RefSeq and is a predicted model, not a curated record.
CUAAAAACUCUGGUUUUCUACUACAGAUACAAAAGAAACUUCUGGAAGAUGAAGAUUUUUCUGCUCGCUGCUCUAACCUGUUUGGUGUCUGCCACCGAGGAACCCCUGCAGAAAAAACGGCAAGUGUCAACGACAUACAGUCUGGACAGAUAAACCUAGAUAUAAGAUAUGCUUUACAAAAGAAAGGGGAAAAUAUCACUGAAAAAGUUUGGAAAGACUACGUGAAGCUGACACAAGAGUAUGAAAUCCCUAUUGAAAAUAUGUAUGAUUCAG